This 806-nucleotide long non-coding RNA is filed under the name Nicotiana benthamiana. RNAcentral describes it as "long non-coding RNA (NBEN_LNC035490)". Lineage: Eukaryota; Viridiplantae; Streptophyta; Magnoliopsida; Solanales; Solanaceae. The record is from RNAcentral.
UUUUUAUAACAUAAUAAUGAUAAUAAAUAAUAACUCAAACCCAAACUAACUACAUGCCCAGUACCCAUUACUUACUGAAAUGAACAUGUCACCGUGCAUUCCAUUCUUAUACAAUCCAAGUCUGAAUUCAAACAAAAAUUCCAAAAAAAAAAAAUUUCAGGGAUCAUAUGUUCCAAACUAGAAGAUGGUACAGAGUCAAAGCAACAAUGAACUAAGCUAUAUAAGACAUCAUAAAUACAAAGUGAUAUGGCUGAACUCAUAACAGAAAAUGAAUACAUGUUUUGAGCUUUGAGAAUCCAUUUGUUAAUUCCAAGCCAAGCUUUACAUUAGACGGAAAACAGAAGCUUGAAUAAUAACAAGAGGAAGAACCAAGAUCAGCCUGAGAUUCAAAGAAGUAGUAACAGCAGACCAAUCAGCAAGGAAAUAACCACAGCUCUUGACUCAACACAACCACAGGCCCAGAUAACUCAGAAUUGAUUCAAGAGCUCAUAAACCUCAAAGCUUGAAAUGAAAAACCAAUAGAACAGUGACUCUAAACAAAGCAUGAACCAACGAAACUUUCAAAAAACAACCAGCAUCAAUCCAUUCCAAAUCUCAGAACAAAAAUGCUUGCUUUCAUGAAAAAAAAAACAUAAUUUCAGAAAAUCCUGAAGAAGCCCGAUAGAACAGUAUCCCUUUUUUUGUAUUUUUCAAUUUUCUCUUCAAAUCUCCUAUGAAACAGUAAAUUUUUAGUUUUCUGUAGAUUUCAGCUCUCAAAACCUUCUUUUUUUGUGUAUUUUUAUUUCUGGACUUGUUUUUUUUUUGCC